Molecule: ribosomal RNA, 253 nt
Filed under: uncultured bacterium
Lineage: Bacteria
Description: partial 16S ribosomal RNA
Rfam family: Bacterial small subunit ribosomal RNA
Source: RNAcentral
UAGGUAGGGGGCAAGCGUUGUCCGGAAUCAUUGGGCGUAAAGAGCUCGUAGGCGGCUUGUCGCGUCGUCCGUGAAAACCUGCGGCUCAACUGCAGGCUGGCGGUCGAUACGGGCAGGCUGGAGUUCGGUAGGGGAGACUGGAAUUCCUGGUGUAGCGGUGAAAUGCGCAGAUAUCAGGAGGAACACCAGUGGCGAAGGCGGCUCACUGGUCCAUUACUGACGCUGAGGUGCGAAAGCGUGGGGAGCAAACAGG